CAUCUAGGCCAUACCACCCUGAACACAUCUGAUCUCAUCUGACCUCAGAAGCUAAGCAUGGUCAGGACUGGAUUAGUACUUGGAUGG
RNAcentral lists this ribosomal RNA (87 nucleotides) under Jaculus jaculus (lesser Egyptian jerboa). Lineage: Eukaryota; Metazoa; Chordata; Mammalia; Rodentia; Dipodidae. The record is from RNAcentral.